UUUCUUAAUUAAUUUUUGAUGAUGUGUGACAGUGUGAGUUUGGUAUGUGUCGUAAAAUAUAGUAGAAUGUGAUGUGUGCAUUUAUUUCUAUAAAAUAUUAUCCAUAUUUGAUUGAACCAAAAUUCUUUUUUUUUUUUAUCAUGCUUUACUUAAAAGAAGUUUGGGACUGUACUUUGUUAAUCCUAUCUAUCUAAUGCUAAUUUAUU
Molecule: long non-coding RNA, 206 nt
Filed under: Aquilegia coerulea
Lineage: Eukaryota; Viridiplantae; Streptophyta; Magnoliopsida; Ranunculales; Ranunculaceae
Description: long non-coding RNA (ACOE_LNC000280)
Source: RNAcentral